UAAACUGAGUUUGAGAGCCCUGUCCUAAACACUCUCUCCUGGAAACAAUUACUACUCCUUUGAAGUAAUAUUUUCCGUUAUACCAUGGUCAAUUGUUCCUCUCUCCAUUUUUCCUUAUUUGCAGAGGUGAAGGAGGAUCUCAAGCAUAAAUUCACAAAGCAAUUACAGUACUGUUUUACACAAAAAUGCACAGAGUUCAUUGCUUCAAGGAAUAAUGAUAAGCCAGUUAAUGGUCUAAUGGCAAUUGGAUUUCCAGGUGCAAAACAAGGCAUUGUCUGCAAUGAAUCCUUCAUGUUACAAAAUUUGCCAGUGUGUGGGAAAUCCUUUGAAGAAAUGAUGUACAAAGUGGAUUCUAAAAAAUGGUGCAAUCUAACAGAAUUUAUCCUGUAAGUAUUAUACCUGGUUGUCUAUGGUAUAUUCCUGUGGUGUCAUCCUUGUUGGAAUGGUUUGGAAUUUGGUUGUUCUCUUAGAAACAGCAGACUCAGACUUGCCUUCUCCCACAGAAUAGGAAAAACAUUAUCUUGUUGCUUCUCGGUUAAAGGAAGCCAUUGAAUAAAGCAAAGCAAAACAUCCCA
Molecule: long non-coding RNA, 575 nt
Filed under: Pogona vitticeps (central bearded dragon)
Lineage: Eukaryota; Metazoa; Chordata; Lepidosauria; Squamata; Agamidae
Description: lncRNA (ENSPVIG00000008690.1)
Source: RNAcentral